AUAAAAACCAACCUUAUAAAACUAGGAGUACAAUCAGCCCUCUAUACCUGUUGGUUCCACAUCUGCGCAUUCAACCAACCACAGAUCAAAAAUAUUCAAAAAAUAAAAGAUAAUACAAAUUUUUAAAUGCAGUAUAACAACUAUUUAUAUAGCAACCUAAUGAAGAGAAUCUGUAAUAAACCUACAACUAACAUCAUUCUCUCUUUUUUUUCUUUUUUCAAGACAGGUCUUGCUCUGUUGCCCAGGUUGGAGUAAAAUGGUACAAUCACAGUUCACUGCAGCCUCGACCUCUCCAGUUCAAGUGAUCCUCCUGACUCUGCCUUCUGAGUGGCUGAGACUAUAGGCAUGCAUCAUUAUGCCUGGCUUUUUAAAAAACUUUUUGUAAAGAUGGGGUCUCCCUAUGUUGCCCAGGCUGAUCUUGAACACCUGGGCUCAAGGGAUCCUCCUGCCUUGGCAUCCCAAAGUAUUGAGAUUACAGGCAUGAGCCACCAUGCCUGGUCCUAACAUCAUUUUUUGGAUACUGCGCUUACUUCCUAAGAUCAAGAACAAGAAAGGAGAUGUGUGUAUGAGUUCUGCAGAAGUCCACCAAAUGUGGGCCAGGGUUAUUUCCCUGGUGAUGCUCUGAAGCUUUUGCCAAAGGACAAAUGGAAACAGGAAGUACAAUCAUGCACUGGGGUAAAGAAGAUUCAUCUGCUCUUAGCUACCUACCAUGCCAACACUCCUGAGAAAGCUCACAGAGGCCCAUGAUGCCCACCUGGAUCUGAGGACCUAGAAAGCCACAACAGGCAACCAUAAUCUGGGUCUUCCCUCAGCCAACUCCCCUGCAUAAAGUGAAUGAAUGAAAAACCCAUCUUAUAUUAAUCAGAGUUCUCUAGAGAAAAAGAACCAAUCAGAUGUGUAUAUAUAGAAAGAGAGAAUUAUUUUAGGGAAUUAGCUCACAUCAUUAUGCAGGCUGGUCAAUCAAAAAUCUGUGGAGUGGGCUAGCAGGCUGGAGACCCAGGGAAAGGCUAAAUUGCAGUUUAGAUCAGAAGGUCAUCUACUGGCAGAAUUCCCUCAUCUUCCAGGAAGGUGGAUCUUUUUCUACCAAGGCCUUCAGUUUAUUAGAUUAGGCCCAUGAACAUGCUGGAGGGUAAUCUGCUUUACUCAAUACAUACUGAUUUGAAUGUUAGUAUCAUCAAAAAGACCUUCACAGAAACAUCUAAAAUAAUGUUUGACCAAAUGUCUGCAUACCAUGGCCAAGCCAAGUUUACACAUAAAAUUAAUUAUCACACAUCCCACGAACACCAUCCCCAACAGAUGCUCAUGAGCAUUGUGGUUAUGAUUUCAACUUCAGAAUAAGGCAGAAAUGUGUACAAAUCCUGACCCUUUGACUUAUCAGCUCUCUAAAAAUCAUUAUAUGUCAACUUUCUAGACUUUACCUGAAAAACAGAAACCAAGAUACCCACAGCAUAAGAUUGUUAGGAUUGAAGAAAUUGUUACGAUUGUUAGGUAUGAAGAAAUUUAAACAAUGAUGCAGCUGAGAUAUUUAGAAUUGUACCUGGCAUGUACUUUGUAUUAAAUAACUAAUAAGGCCUUUUUCUGGUGAAAACAAAAUAAGCCUGGAUAAAAGAAGAUGAGACCAGAUUGGUUGAUGGCUCGGCCUGGGUGGGCUCCUGGCCCAUCUGAAAUUACAUUACUCUUAUGUAGUGCCUUUUUUGUUAUUGCUAAAAUAAAAUAAAUAAAACACUCUACUUUCAUACUUUGUAAAAUGCACUUCUCAUUCAGUUCCUCUUCCUGUGCCUUUUCCCUAUUGUCUAUCUGCACACAGCUGUUUUCUUCUGCACAUUUUCAUCACAGAGAAUUACCAGGUGUAGGUCAAAAGAUGCCACAGAGAUAACAAAGGAAAGGAAAAGCUUUUCUGCACUUCUAUCCUUGUAAGCACAAAAAUUAAUCACACUUUCAGUAAACAGGUCAGGUAAGUCAGUCCUGCACUUGAACCUUUUCUCCCCAAAUAAAUAGUUGAAAUGGGAAUGUCGAUUUCUGUAUUUGAACAGAAAUGUAUUAGUGUAGCUUUCAAAAGAAGACUACUCUCUCCAUAUGAAUAUCAUCAGACCCACAAAUACACAUAUGCAUACAUUCACAGUUCAUCCUAACGCUGCAGAAUAUUCUAAGAGUAACACAUUUCUGUACAAAUCAAGCAGCAGCUUUCACUUGCAUGCUAAUCUUCAAAUUAAUUCUGCAAUGAUCCAUUCAUUCCACAUCCCAACCUACAUCCUCAGAAAAACAAAGAUGUAAGUAAGGAACUCAGUAUAACAUGUUUGACUUUAGACACUACUCAAAUAUACUCAAACUUUAUAUGAAUAUGGAUAUUGCUCCUAGAUUAGGCAGUUCAGAAAACAAAUCUUGAUUAUUCUUAGUUACAAUGUAGUAUAAAAUAACAACAAUUUCAUGUCAACAACAGAAUCUCCUAAAAGAUCUUAUAAAGAUAAAAAGUCUUAGGUGUUAGUCGUCAAAGACUAAGUUGUAAAUGUAUCAUUGUAUUUGUGUAGUUAAUAAAACCCUAGACAAGAUAUGGGUUCCAGUUCUUGAACCACCACCACCUGUUCACCUUAAAUAAGUCAACUAAC
Molecule: long non-coding RNA, 2606 nt
Filed under: Homo sapiens (human)
Lineage: Eukaryota; Metazoa; Chordata; Mammalia; Primates; Hominidae
Description: HSALNT0192952
Source: RNAcentral